Molecule: long non-coding RNA, 1408 nt
Filed under: Sus scrofa (pig)
Lineage: Eukaryota; Metazoa; Chordata; Mammalia; Artiodactyla; Suidae
Description: lncRNA (ENSSSCG00070005804.1)
Source: RNAcentral
CCUGAGGUGUUUACAUGCUGCAUAGCGACUGUGAUGUUGCCGUUCUUGAGCUGAGCAUAGAGCCCAGGGCUUAGAGCCUGUGGGCUGCCUGACAGCACGGUUCCUCAUCCCAGGUCAAUAUGGCCUUGUCUGUUUCACAUUAUACGGUCCUCCGUGUUUGUUAUCCAUGAGAUCACUGUGCCCCAGAGGGUGAUGAAAUCUUCAUGUCAUGUAACUUUGGUGCAUGAUGGAGCAGAUAUUUGCAUGGUGGACUGCUUUUCCUAGGACUGUGCUUUCGCUGUUUAGCACCGACCUAGGAUAAGAUCUGAUUGGAAAUGUGACGGGAUGAGAAGACAUGGAUAAAAGGUAGCCCUGGUACCUGGUGUUUAUCUGCUGGGCAGUAAAUGUUGGAUCUGGCCGUCACUUGAGGAGGCACUGGGGAGGAGAGGUGGGGUGAACCAGGCCGGGAGAGUGCUUGCUGUCAGAAAGAUGAUCUCUAGCACGGAAGGUGCAUAUUGACAGAUAAUAUAUAUUGAAAUAUGAUUGUGAUGUGCUUAAUGCUUUUGUGUUCAUUGGUCCCAUACGCCAGCCUGGACUGACAAGUGCCCGUGUAUCAACAAGGGACAGUUGAACAGUGAUAGUGUUUUUUCAGGAAAUAUCUUUCAGUUGUUUUUUUGUUGUUGUUUGUUUGUUUGUUUGAAGAGUGAACAAUUGUAUGUUUGACCCAGUGUUCCCUGACAUUCAGCUGUGAGAUCCCGGAGCUUUUGGACAGAAAAGCUUGUGGCCAAGGCUCAUGGGUGGCUCUGCUGCCCCCAAGUGGUGUGGGAACCUGGGAGAAUCUCCCUAUCUCCAUGAACCACAGUGUCUUCAUCAGGAAGAUAAAGUCCUUCCAAUACUCGAAAUUCCUCUCCUGCUGAGUUUUUUUGUUUUUGUUUUUUCUUUCCCUGCAUGCCUGUGGGUCCGAGAUGCAUGUUGCAUGUGCCCUGGGAACUGCAGCCAAGUCUUGACUUUGGUCCCUUGUCUGUGCUUUUCCUGCAGGAGCCUGAACUGAGUCCACACACUGAACUCACAGACCUGCAGGGGGAGAUGGAAGAAAGAAAAUCAACAGGUUUUGAGGAUGAGAAGAACCCAAGUAAUGGCAGAGGAGGUGCUGUGCAAGAGAGAUUGCUGCAGUGGCAUCCAGGACUGUCAGUGGAAGUGGGGAAUGACAUGACACCACCUUUCGGACACCCAACUGGCAAGAGGUGCAUCUGCCUCGGAGACACAGCGCCUAUCUCCAGAUGAUAAUUUGUUCAGCAAUAUUCAUACCUCUUUUAUGCAUAAUCAUCAAAAAUAUAUGUCUUUGUCAUCAGAAAAAUGGAUAAUCAAUUGUGCUAUACUCCUAAAACAGACUCUCUUAGCAUAAGAAUAAAACCAAAUGACUGAUGCA